AUAUUUACCUAGCAUUAGAGAUACCAUGAUCAUGAAGGUUGUUUUCCCAGGGCAAGGCUUAACUAUUGCACUCCAGAUGUGCUGACCUCUGCAAUUUCUCCAAAUGUGGCAAAGUAGACCAUAAUUUGUGGUAGUUGGGGACUGUUUUCACACUUUUCUCUU
Suncus etruscus (white-toothed pygmy shrew) is the source of this 162-nucleotide small nuclear RNA. RefSeq annotates it as U1 spliceosomal RNA. The record is from RefSeq and is a predicted model, not a curated record. The transcript has a single exon. Lineage: Eukaryota; Metazoa; Chordata; Mammalia; Eulipotyphla; Soricidae.